AGCGAACGCUGGCGGCAGGCCUAACACAUGCAAGUCGAGCGCCCAGCAAUGGGAGCGGCAGACGGGAUAGUAACACGUGGGAACGUACCCUUCAGUUCGAAACAACCCAGGGAAACUUGGGCUAAUACCGAAUACGUCCGUAAGGAGAAAGAUUUAUCGCUGAAGGAUCGGCCCGCGUCUGAUUAGCUAGUUGUGAGGUAAUGGCUCACCAAGGCGACGAUCAGUAGCUGGUCUGAGAGGAUGAUCAGCAUCACUGGGACUGAGACACGGCCCAGACUCCUACGGGAGGCAGCAGUGGGGAAUAUUGGACAAUGGGCGCAAGCCUGAUCCAGCCAUGCCGCGUGGAUAAUGAAGGCCCUAGGGUUGUAAAGUCCUUUCGGCGGGGAAGAUAAUGACGGUACCCGCAGAAGAAGCCCCGGCUAACUUCGUGCCAGCCGCCGCAGUAA
This 446-nucleotide ribosomal RNA is filed under the name uncultured bacterium. Its description in RNAcentral is "partial 16S ribosomal RNA". It matches the Rfam family "Bacterial small subunit ribosomal RNA", at positions 29 to 523 of the family's 1533-position model. The record is from RNAcentral.